GCGGGAAUAGCUCAGUUGGAUAGAGUAACUGGCUUCGAACCAGUAGGUCGGGGGUUCAAUUCCCUCUUCCCGUACCA
Molecule: transfer RNA, 77 nt
Filed under: Oligoflexia bacterium
Lineage: Bacteria; Pseudomonadati; Bdellovibrionota; Oligoflexia
Description: tRNA-Arg
Rfam family: tRNA
About the family: Transfer RNA (tRNA) molecules are approximately 80 nucleotides in length. Their secondary structure includes four short double-helical elements and three loops (D, anti-codon, and T loops).
Source: RNAcentral